RNAcentral lists this transfer RNA (88 nucleotides) under Spirochaetota bacterium. RNAcentral's name for it is "Spirochaetes bacterium tRNA-Ser". It matches the Rfam family "tRNA". From Rfam's summary of the family: Transfer RNA (tRNA) molecules are approximately 80 nucleotides in length. Their secondary structure includes four short double-helical elements and three loops (D, anti-codon, and T loops). Further hydrogen bonds mediate the characteristic L-shaped molecular structure. tRNAs have two regions of fundamental functional importance: the anti-codon, which is responsible for specific mRNA codon recognition, and the 3' end, to which the tRNAs corresponding amino acid is attached (by aminoacyl-tRNA synthetases). tRNAs cope with the degeneracy of the genetic code in two manners: having more than one tRNA (with a specific anti-codon) for a particular amino acid; and 'wobble' base-pairing, i.e. permitting non-standard base-pairing at the 3rd anti-codon position. Lineage: Bacteria; Pseudomonadati; Spirochaetota. The record is from RNAcentral.
GGAAGAGUAUCCUAAUGGUAAGGAAACGGUUUGCUAAACCGUCGAGGGCUAACCCCUCUUGCGAGUUCGACUCUCGUCUCUUCCUCCG